RNAcentral lists this ribosomal RNA (480 nucleotides) under uncultured bacterium. Its description in RNAcentral is "partial 16S ribosomal RNA". It matches the Rfam family "Bacterial small subunit ribosomal RNA", at positions 28 to 507 of the family's 1533-position model. The record is from RNAcentral.
GACGAACGCUGGCGGCGUGCUUAACACAUGCAAGUCGAACGAUGAAGAAAAGAAUUGAAGCUUCGGCAGAAAUUCAUUUCGGAUUAGUGGCAGACGGGUGAGUAACGCGUGAGCAACCUACCUCUUACAAAGGGAUAGCCUCGGGAAACCGGGAUUAAUACCAUAUAACAUUGCGACGAAGCAUUUCGAUGCAAUCAAAGCUACGGCGGUAAGAGAUGGGCUCGCGUCCCAUUAACCAGAUGGUGAGGUAACGGCUCACCAUAGUAACGAUGGGUAACCGGCCUGAGAGGGUGAACGGUCACACUGGAACUGAGACACGGUCCAGACUCCUACGGGAGGCAGCAGUGGGGAAUAUUGCACAAUGGAGGGAACUCUGAUGCAGCGACGCCGCGUGAGUGAUGAAGGAAUUCGUUUCGUAAAACUCUGUUCUAUGGGAAGAAAAGGACUGUACCAUAGGAGAAAGCCCCGGCUAAAUACGUG